RNAcentral lists this ribosomal RNA (253 nucleotides) under uncultured bacterium. Its description in RNAcentral is "partial 16S ribosomal RNA". It matches the Rfam family "Bacterial small subunit ribosomal RNA", at positions 524 to 776 of the family's 1533-position model. The record is from RNAcentral.
UACGUAGGCAGCAAGCGUUGUUCGGAAUUACUGGGCGUAAAGGGUGUGUAGGCGGUUGUUUAAGUUUGGUGUGAAAUCUCCCGGCUCAACUGGGAGGGUGCGCCGAAUACUGAAUGACUAGAGUGUGGGAGAGGUGAGUGGAAUUCCUGGUGUAGCGGUGAAAUGCGUAGAUAUCAGGAGGAACACCGGUGGUGUAGACGGCUCACUGGACCAUAACUGACGCUGAGACACGAAAGCGUGGGUAGCAAACAGG